AGACGAAAGUAACACCUAUUGGUUUCGGCCCAAUUGCAGAGAAUAAUCCCUCUUCGUCUU
Molecule: transfer RNA, 60 nt
Filed under: Glycera unicornis
Lineage: Eukaryota; Metazoa; Annelida; Polychaeta; Phyllodocida; Glyceridae
Description: tRNA-Arg
Source: RNAcentral